GCGUGUGCAGGAACAGAGCAAACUUGGGCGCUUAUGGCGACGGUGAUGGAUCCUGUAAAUUCAAGAUUACAAUAAUUGUUUCUGAAUUCUAGAUUUACAAAAAGAGGAUAUGUGAUUCCCCAAUAGCCCUGUUGUAAUUCAGUGACUAUGAACCUAUUUAAUUGAGAUAGUGACUAUGAACCUAUCUGAAAUCAAACUACAGAUUCCAGUAACAGUUACACUAAAUCAUUUUCUCGUCGGGCUUAACACGAGACAAUCCCUGCUACAGUUACACCUAUAAUCUAAUUAAAGCCGAAUCUCUGAUCAGUGCACAAGCUAUCCACAUUAACGCUAUCAAUGCAUCAGUCGGAGUUUGCAAUCAAUGGUUCCAGACACCAACUACUUUCCUUGUCCACCUUAGCAUCGAGUGAUACCAUGUCAGGUAAUGGGACAGCAUCACCAUGCUGAUUUCUUAACGCAUGGGCGGCACUUUACUAGAACUCUAGAAGUAUGUAGUUAUUGUAUACAUGUAAGCGCUAUUUAUCAUCUUAAGGUGAAGCUUUACCCAUUCAGUAAUUAGAAAAGGGCCUUGUUGUUUGAAUUACCCAUUCAGUAAUUUAUGAGAAUUUUGGUUUAUGAGAAUUUUGGUGUACAUGCGAUUUAAUGCUUUCCUAUAUUUAUUUAGAAAAGGGCGCUAUGUUUAUCAUGCUUUCCUAUAUUUAUUUAGAAAAGGGCGCUAUGUUUAUCAUGCUUACCAAUAUCUUGGUGUUCAUGUGAUUUAAUGCCAGUUGUAUAUUUAUGAGAAUUUUGGUUUAAUUUGUAGGAUUCUGGCUCUCAUCAAGUGACUCCUCCCCCUCACGCUGACUUUGUGGACAGAUGUCUCAAUUCUAGUGGUGGAGCUACGAACAACAAUCCGAUGUCCUGAUCGAGAGCGAUAGAGCUAAUGUUUGAACUUGUGAACUAAAAAUAUGAACUAUGGUUGUGAACUUAUGUAUUUGGACUUAUGUGAAUUUGUGAACUUAUGUAUUUGGACUUGUGUGAAUUUGUGAACUUAUGUAUUUGGACUUGUGUGAAUUUGUG
RNAcentral lists this long non-coding RNA (1059 nucleotides) under Zea mays. RNAcentral's name for it is "long non-coding RNA (ZMAY_LNC004803)". Lineage: Eukaryota; Viridiplantae; Streptophyta; Magnoliopsida; Poales; Poaceae. The record is from RNAcentral.